CCUACGGGAGGCAGCAGUGGGGAAUAUUGGGCAAUGGAGGAAACUCUGACCCAGCAACGCCGCGUGAAGGAUGAAGGUUUUCGGAUUGUAAACUUCUGUCGCGAGGGAUGAAGAAUGACGGUACCCCGUAAGAAAGCCCCGGCAAACUACGUGCCAGCAGCCGCGGUAAUACGUAGGGGGCGAGCGUUGUCCGGAAUGACUGGGCGUAAAGGGAGUGUAGGCGGCAUAUUAAGUUAUGUGUGAAAGCCCGAGGCUCAACCGAGGAAUUGCACGUAAAACUGGUAAGCGGGAGUGCAGGAGAGGUAAGUGGAAUGCCCAGUGGAGCGGGGGAAUGCGGAGAUAUCGGGAGGAACACCAGAGGCGAAGGCAAGUGUCCGGGGUGCAACUGACGCUGAGGCUCGAAAGUGCGGGUAUCAAACAGGAUUAGAUACCCUAGUAGUC
This 441-nucleotide ribosomal RNA is filed under the name uncultured bacterium. RNAcentral describes it as "partial 16S ribosomal RNA". It matches the Rfam family "Bacterial small subunit ribosomal RNA", at positions 338 to 795 of the family's 1533-position model. The record is from RNAcentral.